GACGAGCGCUGGCGGCGUGCUUAACACAUGCAAGUCGAACGGAAAGGCCCUGCUUUUGUGGGGUGCUCGAGUGGCGAACGGGUGAGUAACACGUGAGUAACCUGCCCUUGACUUUGGGAUAACUUCAGGAAACUGGGGCUAAUACCGGAUAGGAGCUCCUGCUGCAUGGUGGGGGUUGGAAAGUUUCGGCGGUUGGGGAUGGACUCGCGGCUUAUCAGCUUGUUGGUGGGGUAGUGGCUUACCAAGGCUUUGACGGGUAGCCGGCCUGAGAGGGUGACCGGCCACAUUGGGACUGAGAUACGGCCCAGACUCCUACGGGAGGCAGCAGUGGGGAAUAUUGCACAAUGGGCGGAAGCCUGAUGCAGCAACGCCGCGUGCGGGAUGACGGCCCUCGGGUUGUAAACCGCUUUCGCCUGUGACGAAGCGUGAGUGACGGUAAUGGGUAAAGAAGCACCGGCUAACUACGUG
Molecule: ribosomal RNA, 468 nt
Filed under: uncultured bacterium
Lineage: Bacteria
Description: partial 16S ribosomal RNA
Rfam family: Bacterial small subunit ribosomal RNA
Source: RNAcentral